RNAcentral lists this ribosomal RNA (460 nucleotides) under uncultured bacterium. Its description in RNAcentral is "partial 16S ribosomal RNA". It matches the Rfam family "Bacterial small subunit ribosomal RNA", at positions 338 to 795 of the family's 1533-position model. The record is from RNAcentral.
CCUACGGGUGGCAGCAGUGAGGAAUAUUGGUCAAUGGGCGAGAGUCUGAACCAGCCAAGUCGCGUGAGGGAUGACUGCCCUAUGGGUUGUAAACUUCUUUUAUAUGGGAAUAAAGUGUUCCACGUGUGGGAUUUUGUAUGUACCAUAUGAAAAAGGAUCGGCUAACUCCGUGCCAGCAGCCGCGGUAAUACGGAUGAUCCGAACGUUAUCCGGAUUUAUUGGGUUUAAAGGGAGCGUAGGUGGAUUGUUAAGUCAGUUGUGAAAGUUUGCGGCUCAACCGUAACAGUGCAGUUGAAACUGGCAGUCUUGAGGAGAGGAGAGGUGGGCGGAAUUCGUGGUGUAGCGGUGAAAUGCUUAGAUAUCACGAAGAACUCCGAUUGCGAAGGCAGCUCACUGGACUGCAACUGACGCUGAGGCUCGAAAGCGUGGGUAUCAAACAGGAUUAGAUACCCCAGUAGUC